Molecule: small RNA, 895 nt
Filed under: Pongo abelii (Sumatran orangutan)
Lineage: Eukaryota; Metazoa; Chordata; Mammalia; Primates; Hominidae
Description: retained intron
Source: RNAcentral
CAGCCUUAACUCCUCCACGCUGAGCGGCAGCCAGAUGAGCCUGUCAGGCGAGGCGGAGGCGGUGCAGGUCCGCGGCUCCGUGCACUUCGCGCUGCACUACGAGCCGGGCGCCGCCGAGCUGCGCGUGCACGUGAUCCAGUGCCAGGGCCUGGCCGCCGCCCGGCGCCGCCGCUCGGACCCGUGAGUGCCCAGCCAGCCAAGCGGGGAGCGGCAGUCACAGCCCAGCCCACCAUUCACAGGGUCUCGGCCUCCUCGUCCUCAUCUUCAAAAUGGGAACAACAGCGUUAUUGGGAGGCGUGGGAUUAAGUGAGACAAUCCCUGUAAAGCGCUUAGCACGAGGGCUGGCACGUGUUCGGGGUGGUGGCUGGGGGAGCCCACAGGCAGGGGAGAAGGGUCUGGAAGGGCCCCUCUUCACCUCGGGUUCUCACCUCCCCAGCUACGUCAAAAGCUACCUCCUCCCGGAUAAGCAGAGCAAGCGCAAGACGGCGGUGAAGAAACGGAAUCUGAAUCCGGUUUUCAACGAGACUCUCCGGUACUCCGUCCCUCAGGCCGAGCUCCAGGGCCGCGUGCUGAGCCUGUCCGUGUGGCACCGCGAAAGCCUGGGUCGCAACAUCUUUCUGGGCGAAGUUGAAGUGCCCCUGGACACGUGGGACUGGGGCUCUGAGCCCACCUGGCUCCCCCUGCAGCCCCGGGUCCCACCCUCUCCCGACGACCUUCCGAGCCGCGGGUUACUCGCCCUGUCCAUCAAGUACGUCCCCGCCGGCUCCGAGGGCGCAGGACUGCCCCCGAGCGGGGAGCUGCACUUCUGGGUGAAAGAGGCUCGGGACCUCCUGCCGCUGCGGGCAGGAUCCCUGGACACUUACGUACAAUGGUGAGGAGUGCUGGCCCUCCGGGC